CUUUAAACAUUGCAAUUAACUAAAUACUUAUUUAUUUUUAUUAUUAUUAUAUCCUAAUUUUCUAAAACAGUAAUUAGUGCUUAACUGGUUAAUUAACCUAAUUAAUUAAUUUAUUAAUAUUAAUUUAUAAAACUAUAUUAUUGUUAUUUCUGCAGGUUUUUAUGAGGGGCCCCACAUGUCUUUUGAUGGGAGUUGUGGGGCCCAACUGUCAUCGGGACAGCGAGCACCCACCUACAUGCACACACAUGUGUACACACAAAUUUACUCUUACACACAUUUUUACAUACCCUUGCACAUACAUACACACAUAUAUAUAAAUACUUUUUCUUUUUCGUUUUUGUUCUAAACCAUCUCAAGGGUUAAUCCCUUCUGUCUAAACAGGAAGGAACGAGGGGCACGACGGAGGCUGUCGGCCGGCAGUGGCCGUAGCGGGCGCGGUGGCCGAAGUUGCAGAGGAAAGGGGAUGUGUGGGGGGGAGCCCGGGGGAGGGCUCACAUUGACCGAGAAGGGGAAGCAGGGAACCGGCAAGGGAGGUGCGGCCGUGAUGGUGGUUGAGGGCGACGGGGUGCACCGCCGUGGUGGACGUUGGAGGAGGCGUCGAUGGUGCAUGGGCGCGGUGGCUCCGUGCGGCGCGGGGCGGAUCCGGCAAGGGCUGCCCUAGGGAGACGUCGGCCUCCCCAGCCCGGAUCCACCCUGGAUCGAGAGGGAGUGGCAGGGGAGCGAGGAGGACGGUGAAUGGCGCAGGUGAAGGUGGCCGGCAGUGGCCGACGCGGGGGGAGGGGGCCUAGCGUGAUGGGGAGACUAGUGAGAGGAGCCGGCGAGGGGAGGCCCCUGGAGGGAGCAGGGGGGCUUGAACGGGGCGUGUGGUAGCUUUGGCUAGGAGGGGCAACGGGGGAACGAGCCAGGGGGGUCUGGCUCGUGCGAGAAGAGGCGAGGCGAAACGAGGGAAUGGGCGCGACAGGGCUUAGGUCGAGGGGGUGGGUUCGAGCGAGUGAGGCGCUCGG
RNAcentral lists this long non-coding RNA (1004 nucleotides) under Hordeum vulgare. RNAcentral's name for it is "long non-coding RNA (HVUL_LNC006667)". The record is from RNAcentral. Lineage: Eukaryota; Viridiplantae; Streptophyta; Magnoliopsida; Poales; Poaceae.